UACGUAGGCAGCGAGCGUUGUUCGGAGUUACUGGGCGUAAAGGGUGUGUAGGCGGUUUUCUAAGUUUGGUGUGAAAUCUCCCGGCUCAACCGGGAGGGUGCGCCGAAAACUGGGAGACUAGAGUGCGGGAUGGGAGAGUAGAAUUCCUGGUGUAGCGGUGAAAUGCGUAGAUAUCAGGAGGAAUACCGGUGGUGCAGACGGCUCUCUGGACCGCAACUGACGCUGAGACACGAAAGCGUGGGUAGCAAACAGG
RNAcentral lists this ribosomal RNA (253 nucleotides) under uncultured bacterium. Its description in RNAcentral is "partial 16S ribosomal RNA". It matches the Rfam family "Bacterial small subunit ribosomal RNA", at positions 524 to 776 of the family's 1533-position model. The record is from RNAcentral.